This 440-nucleotide ribosomal RNA is filed under the name uncultured bacterium. RNAcentral's name for it is "bacterial SSU rRNA". It matches the Rfam family "Bacterial small subunit ribosomal RNA", at positions 958 to 1399 of the family's 1533-position model. The record is from RNAcentral.
AACGCGAAGAACCUUACCUGGGUUUGGCAUCCUCUGAACGCCGUAGAGAUACGGAAGGCCCGAAAGGGACAGAGAGACAGGUGCUGCAUGGCUGUCGUCAGCUCGUGUCGUGAGAUGUUGGGUUAAGUCCCGCAACGAGCGCAACCCUUAUUUUUAGUUGCCAGCAUUAAGUUGGGCACUCUAAAAAGACUGCCAACGUUAAGUUGGAGGAAGGCGGGGAUGACGUCAAGUCCUCAUGGCCUUUAUAUCCAGGGCAACACACGUUCUACAAUGGUCGGUACAAAGCGACGCUAAAUCGCGAGAUGGAGCAAACCGCAAAAAACCGAUCUAAGUUCAGAUUGGAGUCUGCAACUCGACUCCAUGAAGUUGGAAUCGCUAGUAAUCGCGGAUCAGAAUGCCGCGGUGAAUACGUUCCCGGGCCUUGUACACACCGCGUGUCU